RNAcentral lists this ribosomal RNA (520 nucleotides) under uncultured bacterium. RNAcentral describes it as "bacterial SSU rRNA". It matches the Rfam family "Bacterial small subunit ribosomal RNA", at positions 120 to 674 of the family's 1533-position model. The record is from RNAcentral.
GGGAAUCUGCCCCUUGGUUCGGAAUAACAGUUAGAAAUGACUGCUAAUACCGGAUAACGACGUAAGUCCAAAGAUUUAUCGCCGAGGGAUGAGCCCGCGUAGGAUUAGCUAGUUGGUGUGGUAAAAGCGCACCAAGGCGACGAUCCUUAGCUGGUCUGAGAGGAUGAUCAGCCACACUGGGACUGAGACACGGCCCAGACUCCUACGGGAGGCAGCAGUGGGGAAUAUUGGACAAUGGGCGAAAGCCUGAUCCAGCAAUGCCGCGUGAGUGAUGAAGGCCUUAGGGUUGUAAAGCUCUUUUACCCGGGAUGAUAAUGACAGUACCGGGAGAAUAAGCCCCGGCUAACUCCGUGCCAGCAGCCGCGGUAAUACGGAGGGGGCUAGCGUUAUUCGGAAUUACUGGGCGUAAAGCGCACGUAGGCGGCUUUGUAAGUUAGAGGUGAAAGCCUGGAGCUCAACUCCAGAAUUGCCUUUAAGACUGCAUCGCUUGAAUCCAGGAGAGGUGAGUGGAAUUCCGAGU